ACUUUUAAAAAGAAGAUAGACUAUCAUAAAUCUUCAUCAUCAUGUAUGGGAUUGCCCGAAACGCUGUUUUCCAGGCCCUACGAUCAUCUAGAGCAAAAGUGGUUAGACGUCCGCAGUCUUUUCGAAUCCAGAAACUUGGUCAACAACAAACGAGUAGAAAUGCAUGUGGCUUCGGCUCAACUUGCAAAGAAAUGGCACCACUCUCCACAGGAGGACGUCUGUUUGCCUUUCUCACCAUUUUUUCGAGCUGUUAUGUACCAUGGGUCUACUAUCUGGUUAUGAUACCAGAAUAUCAGAAGAGGGACGAUGGGCCUGCAUUCAACUAGACCUGGAAUCGAACUAGCCUAGACCCACUGAAUAUUGAUCGCCAUGGGAACCACAAGCUUAAUAUCUGAUGAACUAUCCUCAAAAUUGUGAAAUUUAAUUUUCAUAGAGAAAUCAUGAAGAUGUAAAAAUAGAUUUGUAUUGCUGUCAAAUGUUCUUGAUUGUCAAAACCCUUCCAUUGUAAAUAAAUAAGAAAUGGAAUGAAAGCUA
Strongylocentrotus purpuratus (purple sea urchin) is the source of this 534-nucleotide long non-coding RNA. RefSeq lists it as uncharacterized. The transcript has 2 exons. NCBI's taxonomy places the organism in Eukaryota, Metazoa, Echinodermata, Echinoidea, Camarodonta, Strongylocentrotidae. The record is from RefSeq and is a predicted model, not a curated record.